Molecule: long non-coding RNA, 10700 nt
Filed under: Populus tremula
Lineage: Eukaryota; Viridiplantae; Streptophyta; Magnoliopsida; Malpighiales; Salicaceae
Description: long non-coding RNA (PTRE_LNC003178)
Source: RNAcentral
CUACCAUUUCCAUCAAUAACAUCCCGUAACUAUAGACAUCAGCUUUAUAAGAGACACCUCCAAUAUUCUUAUAACAUAGUUCAGGAGCCAUGUAUCCCAUUGUCCCUCUAGCAGCUGUGAGGGACACAGUGUUAUUAUUUGUUGGGUACAAUUUGGCUAGUCCAAAAUCUGAAACUUUCGGAACAAACUUAUCAUUAAGAAGAAUGUUGUGCGGCUUGAUAUCAAAAUGCAAGAUUUGCAUAUCACAACCUUGAUGUAGAUAUUCAAUGCCAUGAGCUACCCCAAGAGAAAUCUCAUAUAUUUUCUCAUUGCUUAGAGGGACGCUACCUUCCUUAGAAAAAAUAUACUUUUCAAGAGACCCAUUAGGCAUGAACUCGUAUAUAAGAGCACGCUUCGAUCCCUCGACAGUAUAGCCUAUAAGUUGCACGACAUUGACGUGGUGAAUUCUUCCAAUUGUGGCAACUUCAUUGAUAAAAUCUUGUCCAUUGGCUUUUGACUUGCCCAAUUUUAACCGCUGCAAAACGACCACUACGAAGCUUUCCCUUAUAAACUGAGCCAAAGCCUCCUUCACCCAACUUGUCUUUAAAUCCGUUGGUUUUUCUUAAUCUCUGAGUAAGUGUACCUUAUCGGCAUGAGAUCAUUAUCAUGAUUUUGCAAGAAUUUUUCAAUGUCUUCAUACAUGGAUAAAUGUCGUCUUCGCCACUUAUAAAUCAGUAAAGUCAGGAGACAUGGAAGCCCACAUGGGAACAGUAGCACAUGAUAUAUCACUGUAUAGAUAUAUUACAAAAAAAAAAAAGUCAACAUUUAAAACAUAUCAAAACAUUUUACAAAUACUUCAUUGAUUUUAGUGACGAGUAUAUGUGUGAUUAAUUCUUCAAUUUCAAAAAUUGAUUGUCAUGGCUCUCAACACUCUAAUAAAUACCUCAUGAAAUUGAAAACAAAACAGUAUUCAAGCAAGUCUAUGAUACAAACAAUAAAGGGAACUAUAAAAACUUUCAAAAUAGUUUUUAUUUAUUUAUGAUAAUUGAUAGUUAUUAAUAUCAUGCUAGCCAUUUAGAAAAUGAUCAAAAACAAUAAGUGAUAGUUUUUAACUUAAAGAAAUAGUAAAUAUUUUCAAAAUACUCAUGCUCUGUGUUUGAUUAGAACAUUUUUCUUCUAAUGCAUUAAAAUCAUUAUUUAUAAUGGAAAACAAAAGUAGAAAGAAUAUUAGAUACAUUAAUUUGAUGCAAAAUAAUAUACAUUUAACCUAAAGUUAAAACUUGAAAUAGUAGGGAGUCAUCAGAAAUAUUUAAAUUUCAAGAAAUUAUUUUCUGCAACUACAUAAAUUUAAUGAAAAUAAAUAGAAGCUACUGGAUACAACCACAAUGAAAUAAGCCAUGAACAAUAAUUAUUUCUUAAGCUAUAAUUAUUGCGUGCUGAUAUACAUGUAUUAUUGUUUCACAAUGAAAAAAGUAAAAUACUUACCGAUAAGGGCAAAUGUUACAGUGGAAAAGAUUAUGAGAAAGCUUAGUAAAUUGAAGGGGUGGCCAUCCGGUAAUAACAAUUACCUGCCAAAUAAAUAAAUAAAAAUAAAUAAAUAAAUGAUGAUUGGAGUCAUUCAAUAUUAAAAGCAUUAUAACUUAUAAAAUAAUAGAAAGAUAAGAGACAAUCUAAUUGGAACGACUAUUAUAUAUUUAUCCUACUAGAUAUUUAUUUCAUUUAGAUCUUCUAAUUAGAUUAAAUUAUUUUAAAAGGGUUGUAUUUUAUCAAAAUUUAAGAGUUUAGUGACCGCAAAAAACUUAUUGCUAUGGGUACGUGAUUGAAACUUGGAUUGAAAAAAAAACAAAAACUUUUUAGGGUCUUUUAUUUAUUUUAUUAAAAAAUAAAUAUUAGUACUCUUUCUGUAAAAUGAUAUAAUUACAUAAAAUAAAUUAGCUCACCCCCGAAAUUAAUUCGACAAAAUAUCCAGCGGAUACCUAUAUAUAAUCACCCAGAGAAUAUGAAUCAGCGUGCAAAAUCUUGAUGAUUAAUUAAAAACAAAAACCUCAUUUGCGAAAAAAAUGCGGAAAGUAAAUGUAUCGUUUUGUAGAACAUGCAUAUAAGACCGUAAUAGUCCUCACCUUCUAAAAAAAGUUCUACCAGCGACCAUACGGCUGCAUUUCAAGAAAAAAGAAAAGGUCAACACUAGUAUUGAUAUUUACAAACUUAAAAUUUUAACUGAAGUGAAGAACAUUUAUUAAAAUAUAAAAUAAACCCUUAACACAUAAACGGAAACCAAGCAAUAUUGGAGCAUAAUCAUAAUACAGUACGUACGGUGUGCUUCUGUGUAAAAGCAAUAGUUCUUCACGGUGGCUUCAUCAAGGUUGCAGCGGUUCUCUGUGCUAUAAAAACAACAGAAAGAGAACCAUGAAAGCUCGAACCCAUACACCAAAAUAUCAUGGACAUCUGUAUACGACUUAUUUCUCAUAUUUUUUGGCACAGAAUAAAUCAGAUUUAUACGGCACAAGUCAGGUACAUCCUGGACGUUCCCAUCAACCAUGACAUAGGAAUGACCUUCCAUAUCGACAAAGCUAGACGAAGAAGAAUUAUAUGCAGUACCACUGCCAUUUUUGCAAGAAGAGGCAUCCAUAAUAUAACCUGGAGGAUUCAGCAUUUGAUUCUUGCAGCAUAAAAAAGUUAACACAGAAAUGUCUGGCCAAUUUCUAUCAUAAUAAUAAUUGCCGUCCGCAGAGCGGAGCCCCCUUCUGCUGUAAGAGAAUGAUGAGGGAGGGAGAAGCAAUCAUCCUUCUGAACAGCAGCAUCCACAAGUCGAAUUGUGAAGUCACUGUAAUUGAUUGACUGGACAUAAUACUUUACCUUGUCCAAGUAUAAAGUUGCACGUACGUUGUUUUCACAAGCAAGUUCAUGACUUUUUUCGCCACAGCUCUCGGGAUCGGUAAUUAGUCGAAAAGGGUAGCUAAUAUUACGGAUAUUGCCACAAGAAGAAGGAGCGCAGUAAUUGCUGGUGUUCUUUGUAGCACUGCAACUAUGGUGGGAGGAUAGGAUCACUAGAAAAGGGAGGGCUGCAUAUGCACCGAAGAGGUGCCUUAAUUCUCUACUGAACAUUGAGAGAGAAACUUUCUUUGGGAAACCAAUUAAUGUGCUUUGUUACACUUUGAUCAAAAGAUAUAUAAAUAUAUUUUGUGGACAAUACUCGUCUACAGACUGCGUAUACCAUCUUGGAUCAAUACGAAAGGAAAUCAAUCAAUGGGCACAAAUUAAAGUCUUCGAGUUAUUGCCUUGGGCCCAAUCUCAUUAAAUUUAUGGGCCCAUUCUCAUUAAUUAUAUUUUUCAAAUUUCUAAAUGAGAUGCAGACGAGCCCAUUCAAUAUUUUUGAAAUUUCCAAAAUGAGGAGAGUGCCUUGAAGAUUCCAAGUCAAUAAGAGAAAAAAAAGCAAGGAAAGAAUCAAGUAGAAAUGCAAAACUAUUUAAAAACGACGUUUUGGAAAACUCUAAGUGGAAACUACCACGUUUCUUUUUUUAAAGGGGUUACAAUAUAAAACGAUGUUUUUAGUCUUUGGGAAUGAAAAUUCACAAUAUUUUUUUUUUCAUAUAUAUAUAUAUAUAUCAAUUUUAAAAAAAAUAAUAUAAAUAGGGUCCAAUGAAGUGUUACCGUGCAUAAUAUCAUGUAUGCACAAUAUUUUAAUUUUUGGGUUGUUGGUCCUAAAUACCGGUGAUGUGGGUGGUCGGUAUUGCUUCGGGUUGUGAUUGUCUCUUGAGAGGUUGAAAGAUGAGUUUGAGUGGCAGUAGAUGUAAAUUACCUUUCAGUCAUAAUCAAGAAAAAUCAUGUGUCAUCUCAAAAGCUAGCAAAACCACUGAAAGCUCUUUCAAAACCAGACAAGUCCCUUACAAACUACAUGUAGCUCUUUCAAAACCACAGUGGACUCAAGCAAUAAUGAAAGAAAUGAACGCAUUACAGAAAAACCAAGCAUAGAGUAGUCUUGUUCCCUAGACCCUAAACCCUACUCAAAUGAAAGAAAAUUAUCAGGUGCUAGUGGGUGUUUUGUAUCAAACAUUAGGAAGAUGGAUCAAGGAUACAAACAAGACUCGAAGUUGAAUAAAAUUAAUUUAGAUUUUUAAUAUCUCUAUCGUUACAUCAGUUUAAUUAAAAAAUGUUAUUCUUCAAAAAGAUCUUAAGGAGGAGUUUACCUAGACAAAGUAUAACUUAGAUCAUACAUUAUUUCUUAGAUAUAGAAAAAGAAAGGUAACAACUUUGAUAAUAUAUACUGAUGACACAAUAACUACAAACAAUGAUGCAGAAGAAAUUCAAAUACUUCAAGAAAAUAUGACAGCUAAGUUUGAAAUAAAGAACCCUGAAGGGAUAAAAUACUUCCUAGGCAAUGAGAUUAGCCAGAGGUAUCUUCUCAUAACAAGGGAAGUAUAUGCUCAGAAGAUUCUUAGAAACUUGAAAUCAAUUGCUGAGUUCAAAUAUAUGCUGAGUUCAUAGGAAUGUACAAAAGGCUGUAGCAUUGUCCAGUUCAAAGAUAUGCUGAGUUCAUUGGAAUGAUCAAGAGGCUUUGUGAGCUAUUAUGGCCGAAGGAGUUGCUAACUCGUAUAAAUUGGCUACGAAGACACUAGGAAAUGAGAAAAAUUUAACAUUAUCAAAUUAAAUUAAAUAAAUAAAAUUAUUAAAAAAAAAAUUGAUGGGUCAACCCAGAAUUAACUGAGUUAACCCGUGAAACCAUGUUAAUCCGUCAAACCUGAAAUAUAUGUCAAGAAAGUCUGAUAAUUAAAUAGAAAGAAAUUUAACAUUAACAAACUAAAGUUAACGAAAAAAUUAACUAAAAAGAAAAAAAAACAAAAAAAAAAUUCAGAGGUAUUCUCUUAUCUCAAAGAAAGUAUAUGUUCAAGAAGAUUCCUAGAUGCUUGAAAUCAAUUUCUGGUAAGGGGAUCAUGUCAUGUUAAACUAUCGUUAAUCUGAAUGGUAAAACUUUUACGGGAUGGAGGAAAAAUGUCACGAGAAUGGUAAAAAAUAAUAUAAAACUAUUAUUAAAAUCUUAUUUAAUAAUUUAAAUUAGCUUUUAUGCCGGCAUGUUGUCCCAAUGUUAUUUUCAAAGUCUAUUUUAUUAGAUUAUAUAAUAAUUAAAAUAGAUUUUUACAAGACAUCCACCGAUCUAAAUUAUUGAGAAAAAAAUAUAAUUUUCUUUCUUAAUUCUUUCUUUUUUCAUUUGAAAAAAAAACAUGAUUUUUUUAUUAGUAAUAUAGAUUUUUGAAUAACUUAAAAUUAUUAAAAGAAACAUUCAUAAAAACUCAAUGAUUUAAAUAAAAGUUGAAAAAAUGAAUCUUUUCAAUUAAAACUAUCUUUCUUUAUUCAUGAAUUUUCUUAAUAGACCAUCAUAUAUAUUUUUUAUAUCAAUUAAAAACAUAUAAAAACAACAUGCAUUGAUAAUGUCAAUACCAAUGUAUGAAAAAAAAAACAAUAAUUAAUUUAAGAAAAUUAAUUAAAAAAUACAACAAAAGAAAUAUUUUUUUUCAUUUUAUAUCCAGAAGCAAAUAAUUAAAAAAAAAACUCUGCAUACUAGUUCCAUAUAUAAUUAUUAUAAAACAAUUAUUAAUAUUAAAUAAAGUUUUCUUUGCAUCGAACCAUUUACAAAGAACUUCCAUUGCAAAGACUGCAUCAGCCGAACCUGGAAUGGUCCAAUAGCCUUCUCAGGAACUUCAUUGUAAAAUGGACAGAAAUUUAUAAUAGAAUCAAUCAAAAGGAAUCCCUGCCUAGAGUGACCAUAACCCUAAUUCCCACCUUCCAAAAAUCCUCUAUAACUUUGUCAUUUGGUGGCCUAGGUUUCGAGUGUUGACCAGGUCGUCAGCUCGGCCAGGUUAAUUUUUUAUUUUUUUAAAUCAAAACGACAUCAUUUUAGUAAUAAAAAAAUAAAUAAAUAAAGUCAAUGGAUUUGUAGCCGGAUCUUGACUGGGUUUUGUCGGGUCAAUUGGGUCACCGGGUUAGCCGGUUCACACCAGGUUUUUUCUUUUUUUAUUUUUUCAUUAACCUGGUUUGAUUUCAGCCUCGAAUUGGCCGGAUUUCAAAACUAUACCACAAUGACUAAAAAAGUAUCCCACAGCCUCAUUAGCUAGCAUUCUAACUUGCGGACUCCACCCUACUACACAACCUUUCUCACCCACAAGAAACUAAAAAAGUAUCGCACAACCUAUGUCAUCCACAAAUGUUUUGGGGGAGCUAGGCUUGCUCAGUAUCCACAAGAAAUAGAAAUUACUGACCUUGUCCAAGCCCCAAGCUUAGAUCAGAAAUGCUACCUAAGACCACAUAUAUAACUGACCUUGGUGGUUUGUUGCUGAUCCACUCGUAAAGAGAUCAAGAUUAUAGUAAUCAUCUUCUUCAAUACACUCGUCCAAAUAUAUUGAUGGCCUUGUGGGUCUAGGCCUAAAGGCUAUGGACUUAGGGCUACGUCAGGAGCCACCCAUUGCGGCUUAGCUAUGGCUAAGGCUUUUUAUAUGAUAACUAUAUUGAUGGACUUAUUUUCUCCAUAAAAUACUUUCCAAAACUUUCAUAAAUACAACCAAAGUGAAAUAACUAAAUUUAUUUUAAAAGUGAAAUAACUAAUAUUAUUUUUCUCAAUUUGUAUUCACAAACAUUUGUAGUCAGCAAUACAAUAAUUAAGGAUACAUUUAAUAUCCACUACCGCUAGAAUUAGAAGUGUUAGCAUUAGAUUUGAAGAUAAUUUUUAGUCUUAAAUUUAUUUACAUCAAAGUCAAGAAUAUUAAAAUAAAAAAUGUCAUAGGUAAUUCAUCAAAAGUAUAGCACAACAAUACAAUUAGGGUUUUAACGUGAUAGGACAAAACCAUCAAUAUAGCCUACACCAGAAAAGGGUCUUGUAAUUAAAUGGAGUACUCCACUACAAGUUCUGGAGCACAAAUAUGUUGGGUGCUUCUUUACUAGUUAUGAGAGGUAAGUAAAAAAAUAAAAAUCAAUUAAAUCGAGAAAACUAGAAAAAAAUAACUGAAAAAACCAAAUUAUGAAAAAAAAAACCAAUUAAAAUUUUUAAAAAACUGACCGGUUCGGUUUUAUAAAUCUAAAACUGAAAAAACCAAACCAAACCCAAAUCGAAAAAAACCGAGCCAAACCGGUUUGAAUUGGUUUUUGUUCUAAAAAAACCGAACCGUACCGAAAAUGGUCAGUUUGAACCGGUUUCGGUUUUUUUAAAAUUUUGAUUUGGUUACUUUUUUUUGUGAAAAGCCGAACCAAAUUGAAAAUGAUUACCCCUACUCGUUAUGGAUGUUGUAACCCAAUUUUGGGUCUCCACAUAUAAAAUAAUAAAAUACAAAACAAUUCAAAAAAAUAUAUUAUAAAAAAAUAUAACAGUGAAAAAAUGCCAGAGCACCCUAAAAAUGCUCAAAAAUUGAUUAAGGAUGUUCAAAUAUAUAACAAUUAAUUUUUGACAGUAUAUCAUUGAUUGAUGAGAGCCCCGAUGAUAAAGAAACUUCAAUUUGAGGAAGAAAAGUCCAAAAUUAGAAGUUUAUGGACUCAAUUAAAUUUUAUUUAGGGUUUAAUUGAAUUUUUGGAGAGUUUAAUUGCAAGAAAAAUUGAUUUUUGAGUUAAUUUGGGUUUUAAUUGGAAGAAAUUGAAGUUCUGGGGUCAAAUUAUAAUUUUUAGAAGUUCAUUUGGUCAAAUCAGGGGCUUAAUUGCAUAAAUAUUGAAGUUUAAUGGCCAAUUAGGGACUUAAUUGAAGAAAUCCGAGAUCAAGGACUAAAUUGUAAAACGCGCGCAAAUGGAGGGCCGAAAUUUGAAUCUGACGCGUUUUGGCGCCUUUUCCUUUUAAAUGAAACGAUGCGUUUUGACCAAAACGGCGCCGUUUCGUGCACUGUUUGAAAAAAAAAAAAUGCAAAAGGAUGCCGUUUUGAAACGGCAUCAUCGUCUUCUUCCCUGCGCACGCAGAGAACAGGGGAGACAAAGAUUUUCUUUUCUCCUCUGUUUCGCACCGACUUCCCACCCGGAUUUGGCGCAAUAAGACGCCCGCAAUCACCCACUUGCCUCCUUUUUAUCCAUGGAUCGAUAGUGGAGGGGGCGACCACCACCAUGACGUCUCCCCUGUUUUUGCUUAUAAAAACAGGGGAGAACCGAAGCAAAAGGAAGAAAAAGAAGAGAAAGAGACCGAGAGAACAGAAGGGAAAAAGAGAGGGAGAAGAGGGAGAAGACCGAGAGAAGAGAGGAGAGAAGGCAGAGAAGAGAAAAGAAGAAGCAGAGAAGAAAACGAAAAUUAAACACCGAGGAGAGAGAGAAGGAAAACCGUUGGCCACCGUGCCUACGCCGCCAGCAGCACCUCCACGACAUCACCGCAGGUAAUCUCUCGCCGCCCCGUCUCCUUCUUCGUUUGCCCUCGUCCGUUGUCUCGUUUGCAUGCAGAACGUGAAUUAAUUCACAUUCUGCAGCAGCUGAAGGAGGCUGGUUACUGUGCUUAGGCACAGUAACCAGCCCAUUUGGUAAUGGGCCGGGUCCGGCCCAUUUCAAUUUUUUAAUUUUUUUUUUACAAUUUUUCCAGCACAUUUUUUUUACAAUUUUUCUUAAUAUCGGUCUGUAUUUUACAUCGUAAAAAUAUAAAUCCGGUAUUAAAAUACCCGGUUUUCGGCAAAAACUUCAAAAAAUACAAAAAAAAACAAUUGAAAAAAAGAGAAAAAAAAUGUUUUUAUGCAUACGGCCAGGUGUCUCAAAGUUAAAAAAAUCAUAUUGUAUUUUUUCAUACACCAAAAAACAAUAUUUUAGCAUGCAUUGUGGCUUUAAUAACCAGUUUAUUAAAGUCAAGAGAACAUUGGCCAAAAUCUCAAAAACAACAAAAAUAUUAUUUUGUUUGAUUUUAGUAUUAGGGAUUAUGAAUUUAUACGUAAAUCGUAUUCCUGAUAUUAAAAAGAUAUUUUCUUUUGACGACUUUGAAUAGUUAGGUUUUUACCCGACAAAGAUAAGGAUCUCCUUACAGAGGAGGACUUUUCUUAAACCGUAAACGAACCAACAAUUAAAAAACCACAACACAACACUAUUUUAAAUUUUAUCAGACAUUAAAACAAUGCAGCCUACCUUAGGUAGGGCGUAGUUGGGGUGCUAAUACCUUCCCUUUACGCAACCAGUCUCCGUACCCGAUCUCUAAAGACCAGUUAAGGUUCCUAGUAACCAGAAUACUAGGUGGCGACUCCCAGUCCAUAUUUGCACUUGUAGAGACAAGAAUUCCUUGUCUCUCCCUAUUUUCCAGGAAUAAAUAUUCCGAUUUUUCCUUGAGGGUGGAUGAUCGCCGCGCCGCCGCACACGUGUGACAAUGGAUAUAAGUCAACACUUGAGGCAGUGAGCUUUGGAGUGUCAAUGGUGGAAAUGCCACGGUGGACUGAUCAAUCAACAAAUGCUAAGUAUAGCACUGAUGUUUUGCAUGUAGGACUUUGAGGGAAGGGGAUUGUGACCAAACAAACUGGUCAUAAGUUAAGUGGAUUGUGACUAAAGAAGAUAUAGAAAUGUGCAUAAAGGAAUUUGUUAAAGGAGAGAGUAGGAAUGAGAUUAGAAGGAAUUCAUAUAAGUGGAAGAAACUGGCUAAAGUGACAUUAGAUGAUUGUGGAAGCUCCGACAAGAAAUAUCGAAGAGUUUGCAGCAAAACUUGUAUGCAGGUCCAACGGUUCUGUAGAGAAGAAGGUUCAAUUUGCAUAUUCAAUUGUUGUAAAACAUGUUGUAGAAAUCAACCUAAUAAGUUAUGGAGAAAGAUUUUCUGCAUGUUCUGGUUUGUGUUCGUUAUGCGAAGAAGAACAUGCAUUAAAGUAACCAUCAACCAGGCUUUUAUUAGAUUUGGCAUUGCUUUAUUAUUGUUUCGAAACCGGAAUAAAGCCCUUAUCUUGUUGAAUAUGUACAGGUAUUAGAAUCAUAAAAAAAAUCCAGUUGAAAACGUAUAAAAAUCUGAUACAUAUUCAGCUAAAAUGUACUUCUAUAAAAAUACAUACUUGAUUGGAUGAUAUUUAUCCGAUAUCCAAUUACUGAUACAAUCAGUGAAGUUUAACAAUUAUUGUGUAGAUGGUUAAUCCAUCAUGAAAAUUAAUAAAUAUAUACACAUCUAUACUUUCAUCUACCAAACUUAUAUGAAGAGUCGGUAUACUCAUCAUUUGGUGGAUCUGAUAACUUUGUAGGGUUAGCCUUAUCAUCAUCUUCUAGGAUUUGAUGUGGGCUCAAAAAAGGUUUAGGAGGCAUACAGAGGAAAUCAAUAUCUGAUUCAAACAUCUCAACAACUUUAUGCAUUGAAGGACGAUCAUCGGGCUUCAAUUGUAUGCACCACAACGCCACAAUCAUCAUCUUCUUUAAUAUUUUCUUUUCAUAUUCCGUGGCAUCUUCUUGUGUUUCUAUGUCCUUUCCUUCACUAACUUUGUCAUAAACCCAUGCAGGAAAGUAAAUCCGACUUGAAUGAUUGGUCAAUGCAUUCAAGUUCUUCCUUCUUCCUACCAGAUCCAUUAAUAACAUCCCAAAACUAUAGACAUCAGCUUUGUAAGAAACACCUCCAAUAUUUUUAUAUAAUAAUUCAGGAGCCAUGUAUCCAAUUGUUCCUCUAGCAGCUGUGAGAGACACAUUAUUAUUACCUGAUGGAUAUAAUUUGGCCAGUCCAAAAUCUGAGAUUUUUGGAAUAAAUUUUUCAUCCAGCAAAUAUUGUGAGGUUUGAUAUCAAAAUGUAAAAUUUGCAUAUCACAACCUUGAUGUAGAUAUUCAAU